GUGCCAUUUUUCUAUUUGGAUACAAUUGUUUCAAAAAAUCUCCCCAAGGACCAGUUGGUUAUGGCUGAUGUAGCAACAUAAACUGUGGAACAUCACUUUGAGUAGCACUGUCAUAAAAGAAACUAUGGCAACCACCACUAGGGGAUUGUAUCUCUCUUGCUUUCUUGCAGAAUUCCAUAGAAAUGAUCAGUGUAAUUGGCAGCAGAAAGGGGGAAAGGAUGAUGUUCAGCAAUCAGUAAAGAGAGUAACAGAGAAAUAGGAGCUACAACAGCAGAAAAGGAGGAAGGAACAGUCUAUUGUCUGAGUAAAAAUGUAAAAUGUAAAUUAUCAUCAUCUUCACUAUACUCAUCAUCUCCUGUGGUUAUCAGAAAUAUGAGAGAAGCCAAAAAUGAAAGAUGGCAGAGGCAGGCAGAGCAGAUGUGAUGUCCUCUUUCAUCAUACAUUUUCUCUUGAUUCCAUUCUGCCUCACUGACAUUUUAAUGGCAAGUGCUUGCUUUCAUUUUACAAAAUUAUAGCAUGAGUUCUAAA
Anolis carolinensis (green anole) is the source of this 528-nucleotide long non-coding RNA. RefSeq lists it as uncharacterized. NCBI's taxonomy places the organism in Eukaryota, Metazoa, Chordata, Lepidosauria, Squamata, Anolidae. The record is from RefSeq and is a predicted model, not a curated record. The transcript has 2 exons.